This 253-nucleotide ribosomal RNA is filed under the name uncultured bacterium. RNAcentral describes it as "partial 16S ribosomal RNA". It matches the Rfam family "Bacterial small subunit ribosomal RNA", at positions 524 to 776 of the family's 1533-position model. The record is from RNAcentral.
UACAGAGGUCCCAAGCGUUACUGAGAAUCACUGGGUUUAAAGGGUGCGUAGGUGGUCCGUUAAGUUCGUUGUGAAAUCCCCGGGCUCAACCCGGGAAUUGCUUCGAAUACUGGCGGACUUGAGUCCUGUAGGGGUCACUGGAACAGACGGUGGAGCGGUGAAAUGCGUAGAUAUCGUCUGGAACGCCUGUGGUGAAGACGGGUGACUGGGCAGGUUCUGACACUGAGGCACGAAAGCGUGGGGAGCGAACGGG